Non-coding RNA from Paramuricea clavata, 363 nucleotides. The record is from the annotation of a GenBank genome assembly. NCBI's taxonomy places the organism in Eukaryota, Metazoa, Cnidaria, Anthozoa, Malacalcyonacea, Plexauridae.
UGUUAACGUAACUGUGCAAUUUGUUGCAAUUAUUAUAUCAUCAACCCAAAUUAUCACAAUGGUCAUCGACUUACCUGAAAUUUUGGUCAACUAAAAUUGAGGGCUACCACGACAUUAGAAGAGGAUUUCAUGUACUUUCAAACACGUUUAAUAAGCUCUCAAGGCGGAAUUUUACAUAUACAUUCAAUUUUGUUGAACACACAAUAGCUUUAGCACUUGCUUCCUUAGGUGAUUAAAAAUAACAAGUUUUUGUUUCAUUUUUUCCCCAUGUAUUCCCUUACCCAAUGCAAAUUGUUUUCGUUAUUUGCAGCAAUAUUCGAAAGACGCAGCAUGAUGAGGACCCUUGCCGAAGCACCCCAAAUU